Small nucleolar RNA from Nycticebus coucang (slow loris), 101 nucleotides. RefSeq annotates it as small nucleolar RNA U13. The record is from RefSeq and is a predicted model, not a curated record. NCBI's taxonomy places the organism in Eukaryota, Metazoa, Chordata, Mammalia, Primates, Lorisidae. The transcript has a single exon.
AUCCUUUUGUAGUUUGCAAGCAUGAUGAUUAGUUUUUCAUGCGCACGCGUGAGAUGUGCCUCCCACAGAUCUUGUUACGUCGGCACAUUACCUGUCUGACA